This 468-nucleotide ribosomal RNA is filed under the name uncultured bacterium. RNAcentral's name for it is "partial 16S ribosomal RNA". It matches the Rfam family "Bacterial small subunit ribosomal RNA", at positions 28 to 507 of the family's 1533-position model. The record is from RNAcentral.
GACGAACGCUGGCGGCGUGCUUAACACAUGCAAGUCGAACGGAAAGGCCAUGCUUUUGUUGCGUGCUCGAGUGGCGAACGGGUGAGUAACACGUGAGUAACCUGCCCUUGACUUUGGGAUAACUUCAGGAAACUGGGGAUAAUACCGGAUAGGAGCUCCUGCUGCAUGGUGGGGGUUGGAAAGUUUCGGCGGUUGGGGAUGGACUCGCUGCUUAUCCGCUUGUUGGGGAGGUAGUGGCUUACCAAGGCUUUGACGGGUAGCCGGCCUGAGAGGGUGACCGGCCACAUUGCGACUGAGAUACGGCCCAGACUCCUACGGGAGGCAGCAGUGGGGAAUAUUGCACAAUGGGCGGAAGCCUGAUGCAGCAACGCCGCGUUCGGGAUGACGGCCUGCGGGUUGUAAACCGCUUUCGCCGGUGACGAAGCGUGAGUGACGGUAAUGUGUAAAGAAGCACCGGCUAACUACGUG